GACGAACGCUGGCGGCGUGCCUAAUACAUGCAAGUCGAGCGAUGAAGAUUGGUGCUUGCACCAAUUUGAAGAGCAGCGAACGGGUGAGUAACGCGUGGGGAAUCUGCCUUUGAGCGGGGGACAACAUUUGGAAACGAAUGCUAGUACCGCAUAACAACUUUAAACAUAAGUUUUAAGUUUGAAAGAUGCAAUUGCAUCACUCAAAGAUGAUCCCGCGUUGUAUUAGCUAGUUGGUGAGGUAAAGGCUCACCAAGGCGAUGAUACAUAGCCGACCUGAGAGGGUGAUCGGCCACAUUGGGACUGAGACACGGCCCAAACUCCUACGGGAGGCAGCAGUAGGGAAUCUUCGGCAAUGGACGAAAGUCUGACCGAGCAACGCCGCGUGAGUGAAGAAGGUUUUCGGAUCGUAAAACUCUGUUGGUAGAGAAGAACGUUGGUGAGAGUGGAAAGCUCAUCAAGUGACGGUAACUACCCAGAAAGGGACGGCUAACUACGUG
This 497-nucleotide ribosomal RNA is filed under the name uncultured bacterium. RNAcentral describes it as "partial 16S ribosomal RNA". It matches the Rfam family "Bacterial small subunit ribosomal RNA", at positions 28 to 507 of the family's 1533-position model. The record is from RNAcentral.